GCCUUCGUGGUGUAGUGGUCAGCAUGCUGGGCACGUAUUUUAGAGGUCUGUGGUUCGAGUCCCGGCGAAGGCG
RNAcentral lists this transfer RNA (73 nucleotides) under Stegodyphus mimosarum. It matches the Rfam family "tRNA". From Rfam's summary of the family: Transfer RNA (tRNA) molecules are approximately 80 nucleotides in length. The record is from Rfam by way of RNAcentral. Lineage: Eukaryota; Metazoa; Arthropoda; Arachnida; Araneae; Eresidae.